Molecule: ribosomal RNA, 862 nt
Filed under: Dichotomopilus indicus
Lineage: Eukaryota; Fungi; Ascomycota; Sordariomycetes; Sordariales; Chaetomiaceae
Description: eukaryotic LSU rRNA
Rfam family: Eukaryotic large subunit ribosomal RNA
Source: RNAcentral
GCGGAGGAAAAGAAACCAACAGGGAUUGCCUUAGUAACGGCGAGUGAAGCGGCAACAGCUCAAAUUUGAAAGCUGGCUCCUUUGGAGUCCGCGUUGUAAUUUGUAGAGGAUGAUUCGGCAAGGGCUCCCGCCUAAGUCUCCUGGAACGGAGCGUCAUAGAGGGUGAGAAUCCCGUAUGCGGUGGGCUGCCUAAGCCAUGUGAAUCUCCUUCGACGAGUCGAGUUGUUUGGGAAUGCAGCUCUAAAUGGGAGGUAAAUUUCUUCUAAAGCUAAAUACCGGCCAGAGACCGAUAGCGCACAAGUAGAGUGAUCGAAAGAUGAAAAGCACUUUGGAAAGAGAGUUAAAAAGUACGUGAAAUUGUUGAAAGGGAAGCGCUUGCAGCCAGACUUGUCCGCAGUUGCUCAGCCGGUCUCCUGACCGGUGUACUCUUCUGCGGCCAGGCCAGCAUCAGUUCGGGCGGUCGGAUAAAGACCUCGGGAAUGUAGCUCCUCUCGGGGAGUGUUAUAGCCCGGGGUGGAAUGCGGCCAGCCUGGACUGAGGAUCUCGCUUCGGCUAGGAUGCUGGCGUAAUGGCUGUAAGCGGCCCGUCUUGAAACACGGACCAAGGAGUCUAACAUCUAUGCGAGUGUUUGGGUGUCAAACCCAUGCGCGUAAUGAAAGUGAACGGAGGUGGGAACCCUCACGGGUGCACCAUCGACCGAUCCUGAUGUCUUCGGAUGGAUUUGAGUAAGAGCAUAGCUGUUGGGACCCGAAAGAUGGUGAACUAUGCCUGAAUAGGGUGAAGCCAGAGGAAACUCUGGUGGAGGCUCGCAGCGGUUCUGACGUGCAAAUCGAUCGUCAAAUUUGGGUAUAGGGGCGAAAGA